Molecule: ribosomal RNA, 455 nt
Filed under: uncultured microorganism
Description: bacterial SSU rRNA
Rfam family: Archaeal small subunit ribosomal RNA
Source: RNAcentral
GUGCAGCAGGCGAGAAACCUCCGCAAUGCUCGAAAGAGCGGCGGGGGACUCCAAGUGCCUACGCUUUGCGUAGGCUUUUCCCAAGCCUAAAAAGCUUGGGGAAUAAGGGCUGGGUAAGACGGGUGCCAGCCGCCGCGGUAAUACCCGCAGCCCGAGUGGUGGCCGCUUUUAUUGGGCCUAAAGCGUCCGUAGCCGGUCUGGUAAAUGCCUGGGUAAAUCGUCUGGCUCAACCAGACGAAUUCCGGGUAGACUGCCAGACUAGGGACCGGAGGAAGGAGAGGGUACUCCGGGGGUAGGGUGAAAUCAGCAAGGUGAGUUGUUGAUGUAACUUGCCUUGCAAGUCACAAUCCUGUAAUCCUCGGAGGACCACCGGUGGCGAAGGCGCUCUCCUAGGACGGGUCCGACGGUGAGGGACGAAAGCCAGGGGAGCAAACCGGAUUAGAUACCCCUGUAGU